RNAcentral lists this ribosomal RNA (487 nucleotides) under uncultured Clostridiaceae bacterium. Its description in RNAcentral is "partial 16S ribosomal RNA". Lineage: Bacteria; Bacillati; Bacillota; Clostridia; Eubacteriales; Clostridiaceae. The record is from RNAcentral.
CACGUAGUUAGCCGUGGCUUCCUCCUUGGGUACCGUCAUUAUCGUCCCCAAAGACAGAGCUUUACAACCCGAAGGCCUUCAUCACUCACGCGGCGUUGCUGCAUCAGGGUUUCCCCCAUUGUGCAAUAUUCCCCACUGCUGCCCCCCGUAGGAGUCUGGGCCGUGUCUCAGUCCCAAUGUGGCCGAUCACCCUCUCAGGUCGGCUACGCAUCGUCGCCUUGGUGAGCCAUUACCUCACCAACUAGCUAAUGCGCCGCGGGUCCAUCUUAUAGCGGAUUGCUCCUUUGGUUAUCGAUCCAUGCGAAUCAACAACUUUAUGCGGUAUUAAUCUUCCUUUCGGAAGGCUAUCCCCCUCUAUAAGGCAGGUUACCCACGUGUUACUCACCUGUCCGCCGCUAAUCCGUUCCCGAAGGAACUUCAUCGCUCGACUUGCAUGUGUUAGGCACGCCGCCAGCCGUUCGUCCUGUAGCCGAGGAGUACAAACUCU